AUGAUGACCUGGACUAGUUACUUAAGCUCUUGGGGCCCUGGUUUCCUCACCUGUAAAAUGAAGGUGAUGGACUGGUUGGAUUCUAGGGACCUUUAGAUCUAUGAACCUGUUAUCCUCUGGUAGAAUAAUCGUUAGGUAUUUUCCCAAUGGAAAAUCUCAGUGACCUGAAGUCCAGAAAUGUAGAGAUGAUAACUAGAAGGAAGAAAAACCCAUCUACUAAUUAUCACAGUGUUGCUGUCAUGAAUAGGCAGCCUCUUCUCUCCCUCUUCCUGUUAAUGGCCAGAAAUAUUCCAAGAAGAGAAGAGGUUGUACUGCCUUUUUGUGUAGCUGGUAGAAUUACCUAUUCAUUCAUUCAUUCACACAUUUCCCUGCUGGAAGGGUGGUCUGCCUGUUCCUAGUCUACUAUCUUCAUGUGACUCUCUUGAAUGGAUUCAUGGAAAGGUCAAGGGGAAGUAUUUGCAUACAACAUCCUUUGGAAAUCACACAAAGGGGAACAAUAUAAUAGAAGAAUAAAAUGAAUGUAACUACACCAUAGGGUGAAAAUGACACUCUCUACAAAUGGAGAAGAGAAGAGAAGAAGAGAAGAGAAGAGAAGAGAAGAGAAGAGAAGAGAAGAGAAGAGAAGAGAAGAGAAGAGAAGAGAAGAGAAGAGAAGAGAAGAGAAGAGAAGAGAAGAGAAGAGAAGAGAAGAGAAGAGAAGAGAAGAGAAGAGAAGAGAAGAGAAGAGAAGAGAAGAGAAGAGAAGAGAAGAGAAGAGAAGAGAAG
Molecule: long non-coding RNA, 765 nt
Organism: Monodelphis domestica (gray short-tailed opossum)
Lineage: Eukaryota; Metazoa; Chordata; Mammalia; Didelphimorphia; Didelphidae
Source: RefSeq, a predicted model, not a curated record